This 256-nucleotide ribosomal RNA is filed under the name uncultured bacterium. RNAcentral's name for it is "partial 16S ribosomal RNA". It matches the Rfam family "Bacterial small subunit ribosomal RNA", at positions 524 to 776 of the family's 1533-position model. The record is from RNAcentral.
UACGUAGGGGGCGAGCGUUGUCCGGAAUUAUUGGGCGUAAAGAGCGUGUAGGCGGUUCGGUAAGUCUGCCGUGAAAACCUGAGGCUCAACCUCGGGCGUGCGGUGGAUACUGCCGGGCUAGAGGACGGUAGAGGCGAGUGGAAUUCCCGGUGUAGCGGUGAAAUGCGCAGAUAUCGGGAGGAACACCAGUAGCGAAGGCGGCUCACUGGACCAUAACUGACGCUGAUGCACGAAAGCUGGGGGGGAGCAAAACAGG